This 108-nucleotide ribosomal RNA is filed under the name Streptomyces yunnanensis. Its description in RNAcentral is "23S rRNA. Bacterial LSU". It matches the Rfam family "Bacterial large subunit ribosomal RNA", at positions 2815 to 2925 of the family's 2925-position model. Lineage: Bacteria; Bacillati; Actinomycetota; Actinomycetes; Kitasatosporales; Streptomycetaceae. The record is from RNAcentral.
CACUUGAUGGGGUAAGGCUCCCAGUAGAUGACUGGGUUGAUAGGCCAGAUAUGGAAGCGCCGUAAGGUGUGGAGUUGACUGGUACUAAUAGGCCGAGGGCUUGUCCUC